Molecule: long non-coding RNA, 1122 nt
Filed under: Homo sapiens (human)
Lineage: Eukaryota; Metazoa; Chordata; Mammalia; Primates; Hominidae
Description: non-protein coding lnc-LDLRAP1-1:3
Source: RNAcentral
AUCUCUCUUUUGUAGAUGGAGGUUCACAUCUUGCUCAGAGAGGUGAGGCGAUUCACCUGAGAGCACGCAGCAGAGAUCCUGACUAAUACGCCAAGGCCCAGGGCUGCAUGCCCAGGACUCAGGAAGAGUCUCGAAGAAUCCUCUGCACACAAGAACACUGCUAUCCGCCGAAGCUGAUGUCAGCUAUUCCCUGCAGACUGGCCUGGUCCAGCAGAGCCAGCUCUGCUAAACUACCACAGGCAGGAAGAAAAUGAGCCACCAGGGGCCUCCACACUUGUCUCUCAUAAAAGAUAUAUGCUCCACAAGGACAGGGGUUGAGUCUGUCUUGUUCCCUGCUCAAUAAUUGUGUGCUAUGGAUAAGUAAAUGAAUGGAUCAAGAGAUAAGGAUGGAAGAGCAAUUUACAAACCCAAAGCAUUGUGCAAGGCAGGGCAUAAUUGGGUAGGAAUGCUUCUUCUAGAAGUUAUUCCUUAGGAAAGGCCAAACAAAAAGUCUAUUAAUAGACCCGAUUAAUAAACAUCAGCCAAGGUAAAUGUUAACAGGAAGUAUUUCUGCAAAUGUUGGCGGUCUCUCAGGCUGGGCUCAGAGUAGGCUGGCAUGCUGGUGAAGAAGACUUCCUGCCUCCUGUUUGCUCAGAACAUGUUCUCAGGCCUAGGGGAGCCUCCUUCUUGAACCCCAGAAUGGGUGCCACAGUCCCAGGCUUGCCGCAUCCUGGAAGUUCACCCUACUUCAGUAUGCAGUCAGAUCCAGGUACGCAGGGACGCAGUGUGCGGUCAGACCCAGUUAUGCAGGGAUGCAGUGUGCGGUCAGACCCAGUUAUGCAGGGAUGCGGUGUGCGGUCAGACCCAGUUAUGCAGGGAUGCGGUGUGCGGUCAGACCCAGUUAUGCAGGGAUGCGGUGUGCGGUCAGACCCAGGUAUGCAGGGAUGCGGUGUGCGGUCAGACCCAGUUAGAUGGUCCUUAAACAUGCCAUGCUGAUUUGCCCCUGGGGGCUUCACUUGUGUUCUUCCAUUGUUCCUCUUUUCCUCACUUCCUUCAGGUUUCUGUACAAAUGUCGCCUCCUCAGAGAGGCCUCAUCUGACCCCAUUCAAAAUUAGCAGCCACACAGAGGUAUAAUAUGCUGAG